Octopus sinensis (East Asian common octopus) is the source of this 188-nucleotide long non-coding RNA. RefSeq lists it as uncharacterized. The record is from RefSeq and is a predicted model, not a curated record. The transcript has 4 exons. NCBI's taxonomy places the organism in Eukaryota, Metazoa, Mollusca, Cephalopoda, Octopoda, Octopodidae.
AUUCACUGGGUAAUUUGCAAAAACCUGAAUCUGCCCCAUGAUAAAAACUGGUGGGAACACAAACAACCUCCAGUUCUUGAAAAUGAUCAAAUCUCACUUCUCUGGAAUUUCACCAUUCGAACAGACAGAAAGAUAGAUGCGAAUAGGACGGACAUAAAGGUAUUUAAAAAAUUUAGGCAAAAAUCUUU